AAAGUCGUAACAAGGUUUCCGUAGGUGAACCUGCGGAAGGAUCAUUAAAGAGUUUUAUGGGGUGAGAUUAGGCCCUUAGUGGGCCUAAGGUUGGUGGCCUUUUAAGGCGCUAACAACUCACAACCUAUGCGUAUGUUGUGUUUGACUGUGUAAUAAGUGACUAAGAGACAAUGAGACAACUUUUAACAAUGGAUCUCUUGGCUCUC
Molecule: unclassified non-coding RNA, 206 nt
Filed under: Basidiomycota sp.
Lineage: Eukaryota; Fungi; Basidiomycota
Description: partial contains small subunit ribosomal RNA, internal transcribed spacer 1, and 5.8S ribosomal RNA
Rfam family: Eukaryotic small subunit ribosomal RNA (bases 1-47)
Source: RNAcentral